Molecule: ribosomal RNA, 253 nt
Filed under: uncultured bacterium
Lineage: Bacteria
Description: partial 16S ribosomal RNA
Rfam family: Bacterial small subunit ribosomal RNA
Source: RNAcentral
UACAGAGGUCUCAAGCGUUGUUCGGAUUCAUUGGGCGUAACGGGUGCGUAGGCGGCGCGGUAAGGCGGGUGUGAAAUCUCGGAGCUUAACUCCGAAACUGCAUUCGAUACUGCCGUGCUUGAGGACUGGAGAGGAGACUGGAAUUUACGGUGUAGCGGUGAAAUGCGUAGAUAUCGGAAGGAAGACCAGUGGCGAAGGCGGGUCUCUAGACAGUUCCUGACGCUGAGACACGAAGGUCAGGGGAGCAAACGGG